Molecule: ribosomal RNA, 468 nt
Filed under: uncultured bacterium
Lineage: Bacteria
Description: partial 16S ribosomal RNA
Rfam family: Bacterial small subunit ribosomal RNA
Source: RNAcentral
GACGAACGCUGGCGGCGUGCUUAACACAUGCAAGUCGAACGGAAAGGCCCUGCGUUUGUGGGGUGCUCGAGUGGCGAACGGGUGAGUAACACGUGAGUAACCUGCCCUUGACUUUGGGAUAACAUCAGGAAACUGGGGCUAAUAUCGGAUAGGAGCUCCUGCUGCAUGGUGGGGGUUGGAAAGUUUCGGCGGUUGGGGAUGGACUCGCGGCUUAUGAGCUUGUUGGUGGGGGAGUGGCUUACCAAGGCUUUGACGGGUAGCCGGCCUGAGAGGGUGACCGGCCACCUUGGGACUGAGGUGCGGCCCAGACUCCUACGGGAGGCAGCAGUGGGGAAUAUUGCACAAUGGGCGGAAGCCUGAUGCAGCAACGCCGCGUGCGGGAUGACGGCCUUCGGGUUGUAAACCGCUUUCGCCUGUGACGAAGCGUGAGUGACGGUAAUGGGUAGAGAAGCACCGGCUAACUACGUG